Aphis gossypii (cotton aphid) is the source of this 439-nucleotide long non-coding RNA. RefSeq lists it as uncharacterized. The record is from RefSeq and is a predicted model, not a curated record. The transcript has 3 exons. Lineage: Eukaryota; Metazoa; Arthropoda; Insecta; Hemiptera; Aphididae.
UCCAUAAUUUACAGACGGUUUGGGCAAUAACCAUCAAUAUUAAUAGAUUCUCCAAUCAUAAUUCGAUAAAAAGCAAUAAAAAUUCGUGGAACGGCCACGGAAAGUAUACGAGGAUGUCAGAUAUUCAACAUAAAUAUUGCAGGCAGAUGCGAUGUUGCACAUCACAUCCAAAACGGGUUUUUUAACGUCGUGUUUACACAAAGGUGGGCGAACUAAUGACAAAACCAAUAUGAGUUAAUUUGGUCAACGUUUAAAAGGUACAAUUGAAAUAAAUGGAAACUUCCGUUUUGUUUGCAGCAGAACACCAUUCUCCCAACUUCAGAUAAACAUCAACCUAUCGAUGUAGAACAAUCGGCGCAUCGGUUACCUAAAUUGCACACUAGUGAUAUGUCACAUCGUCCACCUAAUACAUCGUUAAGAACAUAAUAUAUAAUGGAAU